Molecule: ribosomal RNA, 467 nt
Filed under: uncultured bacterium
Lineage: Bacteria
Description: partial 16S ribosomal RNA
Rfam family: Bacterial small subunit ribosomal RNA
Source: RNAcentral
GAUGAACGCUGGCGGCGUGCUUAACACAUGCAAGUCGAACGGAAAGGCUCCUGCUUGCCGGGGUACUCGAGUGGCGAACGGGUGAGUAACACGUGGGUGAUCUGCCCUGCACUUCGGGAUAAGCCUGGGAAACUGGGUCUAAUACCGGAUAGGACCACAUUUUGGAUGGUGUGGUGGAAAGUUUUUCGGUGUGGGAUGAGCUCGGGGCCUAUCAGCUUGUUGGUGGGGUAAUGGCCUACCAAGGCGUCGACGGGUAGCCGGCCUGAGAGGGUGUACGGACAGAUCAGAAAUGAGAGACGGGCCAGAGUCGUACGGGAGGCAGCAGGGGGGAAUAUUGCACAAAGGGAGCAAGCGUGAGGCAGGAAGGCCGCGUGGGGGAUGACGGCCUUCGGGUUGUAAACACCUAUCGCUAGGGACGAAGCGUUUUUGUGACGGUACCUGGAGAAGAAGCACCGGCUAACUACGUG